This 284-nucleotide long non-coding RNA is filed under the name Homo sapiens (human). RNAcentral describes it as "HSALNT0112806". The record is from RNAcentral. Lineage: Eukaryota; Metazoa; Chordata; Mammalia; Primates; Hominidae.
CUGCCUUUCCACGUUGCACAAGCCCAGCGCACGGUACCCACUGGAUAUGCCCGAGGCCUCCAGAGGAAAGGAAAGGAGGAAAAGGGACAGAAGAAAUGUUCACAGGAACUGCAUAUGGGCCUGCUACUUGUGUCAAAAUGUGACUGAACUCUCUUCCAGCAGGACCAAAUAUCUAUGGAUACAAAAAGUUCAGCAUGACAAGAUCUACUGUUCUCCCACAUAAUUUUUCAUGGAUUCAUAGUCCUAAAAGGACCAAGUUCCAUGCAGAUCUGCAGAACAAGAGG